CAGUAGCCGCGGUAAUACGUAGGGUGCGAGCGUUAAUCGGAAUUACUGGGCGUAAAGCGUGCGCAGGCGGUUGUGUAAGACAGGUGUGAAAUCCCCGGGCUUAACCUGGGAACUGCGCUUGUGACUGCACAGCUAGAGUAUGGCAGAGGGGGGUGGAAUUCCACGUGUAGCAGUGAAAUGCGUAGAGAUGUGGAGGAACACCGAUGGCGAAGGCAGCCCCCUGGGCCAAUACUGACGCUCAUGCACGAAAGCGUGGGGAGCAAACAGGAUUAGAGACCCCAGUAGUCCCUGUCUCUUAUAC
This 301-nucleotide ribosomal RNA is filed under the name uncultured bacterium. Its description in RNAcentral is "partial 16S ribosomal RNA". It matches the Rfam family "Bacterial small subunit ribosomal RNA", at positions 509 to 807 of the family's 1533-position model. The record is from RNAcentral.